This is an RNA transcript of Cannabis sativa, 1710 nucleotides long. It is a transcript of the gene named F-box/kelch-repeat protein At1g57790, with no coding region annotated. The transcript has 3 exons. The record is from RefSeq and is a predicted model, not a curated record. NCBI's taxonomy places the organism in Eukaryota, Viridiplantae, Streptophyta, Magnoliopsida, Rosales, Cannabaceae.
UUUAUGUCCGAAUUGCUUUUUCACACGAUUCUCUCUCUUUCUCUCUCUAAUAACCUCUCAAUAUCUUCUCUCCCACUGUAGUUCUCUCUCUCUCUCUUGAGAGACUACCUUGUUGAGUUGGCCAUGGCUUGGAGAAAAAAGAAGAAGAUGAAAUUGUUAGAUGAAACGAUCACAGAUAAUGAAAGAAAAAGAACCAAGGAGAAGAAUGAGACAUUGGAACUACAGACUUGGUCCGAGCUACCGAUGGAAAUUUUGCAACUCAUUUUGUCCCAGUUGACUCUAGUUGACAAUAUCCGCGCCUCUAUGGUAUGCAAGUUUUGGCAUUCAACUGCCAUAUCUGUGAGGGUGGUUAAUCAAUCACCGUGGCUUAUGUACUUUCCAAAAUUUGGGAACUUGUAUGAGUUUUAUGAUCCAUCAAAGCGCAAGACUCAUUCCCUUGAGUUACCUGAGUUGAAUGGAUCUAGGGUCUGUUACACCAAAGAUGGUUGGCUGUUACUAUACAGGCCAAGAUCGCACCGUGUUUUCUUCUUUAACCCUUUCACUCGAAAGGUGAUAAAACUACCGAAAUUUGAGUUGACUUAUCAGAUUGUGGCAUUCUCAUGUGCACCAACAUCCUCCAGCUGCAUACUUUUCACAGUCAAGCACAUCAGUCCCACGAUUGUUGCUAUUAGUACUUGCCACGCUGGAGCAACGAAGUGGGUUACUGUUAACUAUCAAAAUCGGUUGCCCUUUGUCAGUAGCAUUUGGAAUAAGCUUGUUUUCUGCAAUGGACUCUUUUAUUGUCUGAGCCUCACCGGCUGGCUAGGGGUUUUUGAUCCCAUGGAACGCACUUGGAACGUUCUUGCUGUUCCUCCCCCCAAAUGCCCAGAGAACUUUUUUGCCAAAAAUUGGUGGAAAGGCAAGUUUAUGGCUGAGCAUAACGGGAACUUAUUAGUUAUUUAUACUUGUUCUAGUGAAAAUCCCAUUGUUUUUAAGCUUGAUCGAGCUGACAUGGUUUGGGAGGAGAUGCAAAAUCUCCAAGGUAUGACACUUUUCGUGAGUUUCUUAUCGUCCCAUUCUAGAAAUGAUCUCCUUGGUAUAUUGAGAAACAGCGUCUACUUCUCUAAAGUUCGGUUCUAUGGAAGGCGCUGCAUCUUGUACUCUCUCAAUGAUUGUAGAUACUACCCCCGUAAGCAAUGUUACGAUUGGGGAGAGCAAAACCCUUUCGAGAAUAUUUGGAUCGAACCACCAAAGGACUUCACAAGCUUCAGCUGAACAAUGCUUAUUGACUCAAGUAUGCCUAACUUGAUUUUAUAUGAUGCUGCCUUUUUUGAUGUUCAUAUCUUUCAUAUCAUGAUUUCCCAUUACAAGAAUGAUGCAGCACAAUGCAAGGUAAAUGGUCAAAGUUAGACUACUAGGUUAGUUCUUCAAAUCAAAGCAGAAGGAAGACUAGCACUUUAAUUGGGAGAAAAUAAAGGACAUGCAAAUACCUAAUAGCUUGGACCCUACUUUUGAGUUUUAACAAGAUCUCAAGAUAGUAUUAAGGGCAAGCAAAUACCCGAUUGCUAGGACUACUGGAAUGUUGUUAAAUGUGUUAUUAGAACAACUAAUGAUAAUGAUGCUCUCCACAUAAUUUUCCUUUAAUUUAUAUUUCUGUGAUUGGCUUUUUUCUAGGUUUCCAGGACUAUUUGAUGAUAAAUAAAAAAAAGUGAUUUUUAUCGUUGAUUUUAA